UACGGAGGAUGCGAGCGUUAUCCGGAUUUAUUGGGUUUAAAGGGUGCGCAGGCGGGAGAUUAAGUCGGCGGUGAAAUUUUGCAGCUCAACUGUAAAAGUGCCAUCGAUACUGGUUUUCUUGAGUGUGGAUGAAGUAGGCGGAAUUUGUGGUGUAGCGGUGAAAUGCAUAGAUAUCACGAGGAACUCCGAUUGCGCAGGCAGCUUACUAGGCCAUAACUGACGCUCAGGCACGAAGGCGUGGGGAUCAAACAGGAUUAGA
RNAcentral lists this ribosomal RNA (259 nucleotides) under uncultured prokaryote. Its description in RNAcentral is "partial 16S ribosomal RNA". It matches the Rfam family "Bacterial small subunit ribosomal RNA", at positions 524 to 782 of the family's 1533-position model. The record is from RNAcentral.